RNAcentral lists this ribosomal RNA (253 nucleotides) under uncultured bacterium. RNAcentral describes it as "partial 16S ribosomal RNA". It matches the Rfam family "Bacterial small subunit ribosomal RNA", at positions 524 to 776 of the family's 1533-position model. The record is from RNAcentral.
UACAGAGGUGGCAAGCGUUGUUCGGAAUUACUGGGCGUAAAGCGCACGUAGGCGGUGUUCCAUGUCAGAGGUGAAAGCCUGGGGCUCAACUCCAGAAUUGCCUUUGAAACGGGAACGCUUGAGUCCGAGAGAGGAUAGCGGAAUUCCUAGUGUAGAGGUGAAAUUCGUAGAUAUUAGGAAGAACACCAGUGGCGAAGGCGGCUAUCUGGCUCGGUACUGACGCUCAGGUUCGAAAGCGUGGGGAGCAAACAGG